Daktulosphaira vitifoliae (grape phylloxera) is the source of this 407-nucleotide long non-coding RNA. RefSeq lists it as uncharacterized. The transcript is spliced from 3 exons. NCBI's taxonomy places the organism in Eukaryota, Metazoa, Arthropoda, Insecta, Hemiptera, Phylloxeridae. The record is from RefSeq and is a predicted model, not a curated record.
CAUAAUUGAUAUUGUCUAAAACAAUAUUCUAUUUACACACAUUAUAUUAUAAUUUCAUUAGUAUAAUUUAAUCCUUAAAAUUUCAUAAAAAGUAUAUUUUGAAAAAUGCGUUGUUAUAAUAUAUUAUUAAUAUGUAUAUUUAUAUGUAUUGCGUCAUCAUUGGCAGGAAAAAAAAGACGUGUCAAAAAUGUAAAAGCCGAAUCUUCAUCAAAAUCUGCUGAGUUUAAGAAGAUGUAGGAAAUUAUAUUUUUGGGUAAAUUUAAGUACGAAGCCAACAUGAUUUCACAGUCUACAAAGAUUUAAAUUUAGUGCAAAAAUAUGGUUUAAAAAAUAUAUAUCGGUCUAUGAUUUUUAAAAAAAAUUAUUUAUUUUAGUAAAAUGAUUGUACUGCAUAAUUUAAUAUAAAA